This 252-nucleotide ribosomal RNA is filed under the name uncultured bacterium. RNAcentral's name for it is "partial 16S ribosomal RNA". It matches the Rfam family "Bacterial small subunit ribosomal RNA", at positions 524 to 776 of the family's 1533-position model. The record is from RNAcentral.
UACAGAGGGUGCAAGCGUUGCUCGGAUUUACUGGGCGUAAAGCGUACGCAGACGGAUCGUCAAGUCGGGAGUGAAAGCCCUGGGCUCAACCCAGGAACUGCUUUCGAUACUAGCGGUCUUGAGUUUGGGAGAGGGAAGCGGAAUUCCUGGUGUAGAGGUGAAAUUCGUAGAUAUCAGGAGGAACACCGGCGGCGAAGGCGGCUCCUGGCCCAAUACUGACGUUCAGGUACGAAAGCGUGGGUAGCAAACAGG